CCGGAGGAAGGUGGGGAUGACGUCAAGUCCUCAUGGCCCUUAUAGGUGGGGCUACACACGUCAUACAAUGGCUGGUACAGAGGGUUGCCAACCCGCGAGGGGGAGCUAAUCCCAUAAAACCAGUCGUAGUCCGGAUCGCAGUCUGCAACUCGACUGCGUGAAGUCGGAAUCGCUAGUAAUCGCGGAUCAGAAUGUCGCGGUGAAUACGUUCCCGGGUCUU
This 220-nucleotide ribosomal RNA is filed under the name uncultured Comamonadaceae bacterium. RNAcentral describes it as "partial 16S ribosomal RNA". It matches the Rfam family "Bacterial small subunit ribosomal RNA", at positions 1163 to 1382 of the family's 1533-position model. Lineage: Bacteria; Pseudomonadati; Pseudomonadota; Betaproteobacteria; Burkholderiales; Comamonadaceae. The record is from RNAcentral.